UUACCCAAUCUUAUUUGGGGACUCAUCUUUGUGCAUUGCAUAAUGGUGGAGCAAUUGAAUAAUAUACCGCACAUUUAAAUUUCUAGAUGAGAAUUAUUUUGGUUCUUGACCCUGAACCAAUCAUGAUAGGGGAACCUUGUUGGCUUGAUAUGUACAAGUGUUGCUAUAUUUUAAAUAACGCAUCUAAUACCAAAUUUCUUUUUGAGAUUUUUUGUUCUCAUAACCAAUGGUUUAGCUAUAAUUGGAGGCAUAUAUUUUUUGCUUAAACCACUUGAAUAUAAACCAACAUCAUCAUUAUAAUUUUAUAAUUUGAAAUGUGCUGUUGAUUUAACAAUUCAAGCAAAUAAUCUUUGCAAAAAUCAAAUUGCAGGUUGAUAAUAAAGCACAUCUGACCAUACCAUAGAUGCAUCUAUUAAAAUCAUUUAAUAGUAAAUGGUCCACAUGGCGGGUGAACGGGCACAUAAUCACCUUCUUUAUACAUUUCAAAAUUCAGGGGAUACAAUUCCAACAUUAGCUGAUACAAUGAUAAUUUUAUCAUGACAACAAACAACACAAGAGAAUUUUUGAAGAAUUUAUUAUUUCUUCAAUAUAUAACCACACGAAUUCUCAAUUAUUUUCACAUCAUAUUUGAACCGGGAUGAUCAAUCGAUCAUGCAAACUAAUAUUUAUUUCAGUAAAUCUCUCGUUUACUUCUACAUGUGAUUCCAUCAUCAUGCUCAUAUUUAUGUACCACAAACAAUAUGAGAAAUGGGUUAUCUUACACAAAAGUACUUAUAACCCACUUUGAUUGUAGUGAUAUGAAAAUCUUAAAUCUUCUCAUAAUUCGUAGUCUCAAUAUAAUUUUUUUCAUUGACUAUUCCUUUGAAACUUAAAAAGUUUCUUUUGAGACUUACUACAAUUUCAAUACCAUGAGCAAUUUUAUUUUCUUUGGAUAGUAUCAAAUUAGCUCACCAAAGCUCACAAUUAACAUUGGAUACUACCACAUAUUUCAUAACAUUGUUUGUGUGGUAAACAUCUCUUUCAAGGAGAAAUUUAUAUUAUUAUUGUCAUGGUCAAAAUCAUUACAAGAAAAAGUUGUUUCUUGAUUUAUUUUUGUCAUUAGUAUCUCCUCCCUUUUGUUUAAUAUUAGGUAAAAUAUUUUUGACGUAAAGAGAUACAUAAUCAAUGACAAAUUUUCGUGGUCAAGAAUUAUUUCCUUCUUUUGUCAUUUUGAUAGUUCAUCAAAAAAUGUAUCACAAUAUUUGUGAUGUACUAAAAGUACUUGACCAAUGACCAUUUAUUCCAACAUAAAAUUUCUCUAUUUCUCUCUAACCUCCCAUAGGGGUGAGUUGUGGUAUUUAUUAAAUCAUACAUGAGUAUGUCUUUAUAUAUAAAUUUCAUCAUCUCUUGACACAAUCACUUUCAAGAAUGGUCAACUUUUCAUGAUACUUAUCACAAGUCACAUUCUCUUCAAGGGAUUGACCAUAAUCAUAUAUACAUGCUUCAUAAUUAUUCCUUUCACUAGAAGUUUAUUGACAUGCUUUGAAAUUUAUCAUAUUCAUAUGACAUACCUCGACAUCACUUUUGAUGUGUAUCACCACUUUUCAUCCUUUUCUUUGAUGGGAAAUUUAUAAGCUUAUCAAGUUAUUAGGUCUCAUAACAAGCAUGUUUCAAAUGACCUUUCAUACCAUUUUGAUAACAAAAAUUACCUUCAUAUUUUGAAGGACUAUUUGAAAAAAUUACAGUGUUCUUCACUUUUUUCACACAAUGAUGACUAUUAUUAUUUUGUCUUUUGUCACACCCACAUUCAUUAUACAAUCUCAAUAGUCAUCUUUUAGAUUUAUCAUGUACUGCUACAACAUUCAUUUUUGAGAAUUGAGCAAAAUCAUGUAUUUUAUAAUUUUCAUCAAGAGCACAUUAGUUUGCUCAGUCAUAAUUAUGUCAUCACUAUGGUGCAUUAGGACUUAAAUUCAACAUCUUACCCUCUUGAUUCGAUGAAACUUGAAUUCAUCAUUUUAUCCUUAACCAAUGAGGUAAUAAGCCAAGAUGUAACAUGACUCACCCAUGAGCCUUUAAAAGAAUAUUAUGUUUAGUUAUAGAAACAAAAUAAAUUUAUUUCUUUGUACUUCAAUUCUCUUUUGAAAUAAAAUUGUUAGAAUUACACAAAUCAAAAUCUUAAAUUGUUGAGGUAAAACAAAUUAAUGUAUUCAAUCUUUAUAUAACACAUGUAAUACAAUAAGUCAUUCAUAUAGAAAAAAAUCAAUGUAAAAGUCAAAGCAAGAGGCUUAAAGUGAUUUCUUCAUAUUAUAGUGAAAAUACUACUAAGACAAAUUCUUUUCAAGUUAUAAUUUUCCUCUUUUCUUUUUCACAGUCGUACAACUCCUUUACAAGGAGGGAGUGGAGUUGUUUUAAUAAUUGCAACUUUCCUUCAAUGACCCACAUAACCUUUAUAAGGAAAAAAUAAUAUGAUAUUUUUAAAAAUGGAGAAUAUGCAAUCAGAUCUCAAUAAGACAUAAUAAUUGAACAGUAAUACCAUUCUUUUUUGUAAAUUAAGAAAUAUUUCCACCAAUUUAUUGAUAAGUAUGUGAUUCAAUAUGAAUCUUAUGUGAGACAUCUAUUAAUUGUGGCAAUAUAAAUAUAUUGAUGAUAAAAAUCAAAUCCUUUAUGUGGUUCUAAAGAAAGUAAUCUCAUAGCAAAAAUCAAAUCCAAACUUGACUAACCUUGACUCUCAUCUUACAAAAUGUGUUUGUAUAAAAUAUCUAAAAGCAACAAUAAAUUAUUCAUGGUGGCAGAUUGCAAUAUCAAGAUCUUCAAGAAUCAUACUCUAUUAUCCAAAGAACAAGAAACAACACAACAAUUUGAUUAAAUUCUUAAAAUUCAUAUUAUAUAUUAUUGACCUUUUCAACUUCAAGAAUCAUGUUAAAGAACUUACUAGCAAUGGUUCAAUUAGUCCAAUAAUUCCAUCUCACCUCAAGAAAAUAGCAAAUUAGAAGUAACUAUAGAUUUAUCCAAAAAAAUCAAGAACAGAUGAAUUUUAGUGAAGAAUAUAAUAUGAUAUUAUAUCAAACAUAUUACUUUUAAUCACCCAGAUCCAUAAAUUUAUAAACUACUCAAUGAUGAUAUCUUUUUUUUCUUAGUGAAGAAAUUAAAUAAAAAAAAUAUUUGGAGUAAGAGAUCAAAAUGUGGUUAGAACUUCGUGCUAAUAAAUGUGUUAUAAAACAAAAGCACAACAUAUUAAAAUAAAUGGUGAAAACAAAGAAAGAGGAAGAGGAAAGCAAAAGGUAAUAGGAACCUUUUCUCUAUAUUUUGGUGU
Molecule: long non-coding RNA, 3292 nt
Filed under: Solanum tuberosum (potato)
Lineage: Eukaryota; Viridiplantae; Streptophyta; Magnoliopsida; Solanales; Solanaceae
Description: long non-coding RNA (STUB_LNC002637)
Source: RNAcentral